CUUCUCCCCUCCUCUUCUCUCUCUCCCCCCUCUCCCCAGGAUCUGCUGCAGGCCAUGGAGGAGAGCUAUGAGGUGGACCUGGUGUACAUCACCGAGAGGAUCAUCUCUGUCUCCUUCCCCAGCGGAGCGGAGGAGCGCAGCUACACCUCCAACAUCAAGGAGGUGGCCUCCAUGCUGGCCUCCAAACACGGGGAACACUAUCUGCUCCUCAACCUAAGUGAGCGGAGGAAUGACAUCACCAAGCUUAACCACAAGGUGCUGGAGUUUGGCUGGCCAGACCAUUAUGCUCCGGCCCUGGAUAAGAUCUGCAGCAUGUGCAAGGCCAUGGACACCUGGCUCAACGCUGACCAACACAAUGUAGUGGUGCUUCACAACAAGGGGAACCGUGGGAGGACUGGAGUGGUGGUGGCUGCCUACAUGCAUUACAGCAACAUAUCAGCCAGUGCUGACCAGGCACUGGACAGGUUCGCCAUGAGGCGCUUCUACGAAGACAAAGCACUUCCUGUGGGUCAACCGUCCCAGAGAAGGUAUGUACGUUACUUCAGUGGUCUGCUCUCUGGCCACAUCAAGAUUAACAACAAGCCUCUGUUCCUGCACCACGUCAUCAUGCACGGCAUCCCCAACUUCGAGUCCAAAGGAGGUGAGUCUGCAGCAGGAUAUAACGUCCAAGGGGACAGUCACACCAGUAUCUGCAUCACCAUUGAACCUGGCCUGCUCCUAAAGGGAGACAUUUUGUUGAAGUGUUACCACAAGCGUUUCCGGAGCCCCAUUAGGGAUGUGGUAUUCAGAGUGCAGUUCCACACCUGUGCCAUCCACGACCUGGGAGUAGUCUUCGGGAAGAAUGAACUGGAUCAGACUUUUAAAGAUGAGAGAUUUCCAGAAUAUGGGAAAGUGGAAUUUGUCUUCUCCUUCGGUCCUGAGAAAAUCAAAGGAAUGGGCCACCUUGAGAAUGGCCCACAAGUGUCGGUGGACUACAAUACCCAAGACCCCCUCAUCCGCUGGGACUCCUACGAGAACUUCAACAGGGGCUGCGAGGAUACAGGAGAUGACGUUGUUCACACCCAAGGCCCCCUCGACGGCAGCCUGUAUGCCCGAAUCCACAAGAAAGAGUCCCUCGAUGGAGUGGUCACAAUCAACGACCACACCCCCCAACACCCUGACCACACCCUCCCAAGUUCUGACCGCACCCUCCCGGUAGUGGGCCACGCCUCCCUGCCCGCGGUUGACCACGCCCUGUCGGUCAGCAGCGACUCUGGGAACUCGACAGCAUCCGUCAAAACCGAUCGCACCGAUGACCACAGUCUGUUGCUGCAUGGAGCGGUGAAUACCAACCAGAACCACAACACGCCCAGUCAUCCCCCUCUCAGUCCCCAGGAGAAGAGAGAGUUGGACCAGCUUCUGAGUGGCCUUGAGGCCCCCAUGCUCCACCGCCAGGCUUACCUGGCUACCUCCACCAGCCCCGGGGGGGGAGUUCGCCACCUUGUCCCAGCCCAGGUGCACGUCAGCGGGCAUACCCGGCUCAUUGCAGCCCCCUCCGCCGAAGAGCGCGAGACGGACAUCUUGGACGACGAGCUGCACAUCAGUCAGGAGGGUAACAGCGUGGACAGUCUGGGAACACUGUCGUCAUUGGAGGGCCAGGCCACGCCCGCAGAGCUGUACUACCAAUCACAGAUACCCAUCAACAGGCAGAACGACGGGCCAUACCUAGAGAAGCUACGGGAGAUGCCGGUGCACCGGGUACGGACUUCUACGUCGGCACAGGAGCGGAUCAUGGACUCCAGUUCGCCCCAGGAAGAGGAGUACUCUCCUAACAGUUACCAGAACGGGAGUAUGCAGCGUUCCCAGUCCUUCGGGACCCCCGAGCCUGGAGGCCCCAAGCUGCCCAGGGCCCCUGAGAGGAGCACCAGUAGCAGGGAGGCAGUCCAGAGGGGGCUGAACGCAUGGCACCAGUACAGUCUGCCAGACGACCCGUUCGGUCCUCCCUUACAGAGCACCCACAGUCUGCCCCACUUCCCCCCCACCGCCUCUCAGCACGACAUAGAGCAGUCGAUCGAAGCCCUCGACAUGCUGAUGCUGGAUCUGGACCCACACACAGGACAGGUGCCCAAGUCCUACAGCGCCCCCUCUGGUGAGAACAGUGUAGGAGGGCCAGCCCAGAUCCCCUUCUCCCAAUCUCUGGCCAGGCCGUCCUACCAGGCGGACUCAGCCAUCCACGGCUAUAACAUUAACUACAAUGCCUUCGGACAGCCUCUGAGGUCGAUGGCUGGCCGGGUUUCAACAUCGCCCGUCCAGAGUCCUGUGGCUGAGUCUCCCCUGUCGUACCCCCCCCCGAGGUCCGCCUCGUACCAGCCCCACACCAACACCACUCCCAUACACCCCCCCGAGCCCUACCACACGCGCCCAGCCCAGGGGCCUGGUUCCCCCCUCUACCCCUCUGACUUCGGACAGCUCCAGAUGAAGCCCCUGAACUCGUACCCAGGUGGGACGGUGGUGUCCCGCUCCCCAGACCGCAAGGGAGGGUCUCCCUAUCAUGGCUACAGCACCUCCUCCUCCCCCCUCCCCAACUCUUCCCCCCUUCUCAAGGAGCCAGAACCUGAGGAGGAGAACCUCAACCUGGAGGGCCUGGUGGCUCAACGCAUCGCUGGGAUGCGUUCCCGUGGGAUGAUGCCGGAGGAGGCUCAGGAGACCGUCCGCCGUCGGACCACUAGCGAGGGGCACUACCAGAGUUUCAAUGAGGACCCUCCAGCCCACACGGGGGCGCCGGUGCGCUCCCCUGUCCACUCGUCAGACUUCCACAUCCUCAACCCUGGAGGAAGACCCAGAGAGGGCCCCAUGCACAGCUACCGCGAGGCGUAUGGGGAUGAUGAUGCUGACGGUCGGGCUGCUGUCAGUCCUAUGUUCAGCAGUGGUGGUGAGGCCCACCCCUUGACCCCUACCUUCCCUGUCUCACCUCAGACCCCUUACUUCAACAUGUCCCGUUCUCCUCCAGGCUUGGCCAAAACCCCUCUCUCUGCUUUAGGACUGAAGCCCCACCAUCCAGCAGACAUUCUCCAUGGAGGAUCAGGUCAGAACACACACACGCACGCACACGGCCAUGGUUAUGGUGGACACCCCUUUAAUGAUCCUAUAUCUUCCAGUAGUCCCAUCCACAGGCCAGACGGCAUGAGGAUGACUUCCUCCAUUCGGCUCCAGGCUGACUCCGGCUUCCACUCCCACCCCUUGGAGAGCGCCCAGCACACCCCCGUUCCGUCCUACGGCCCCCACUCCCCUGAGGGAUCCCAGGUCAGCGUCGUGGGCCCCCUCCACACCGUCCCCGGAAGCCCCAACACACUCCACCGCACGGUGGCCACCAACACCCCACCAAGCCCCGCCCUCCAGUGCCGCCUGGCCAACCAGGCCAGCCCGGGUCUGGCUCGUCACCCCACACCGCCCAAUGGUAACAGGGUGCAAGUCCCCGGCAGCCCUGUGAUCCCCGCAAGAGGCUCCAGAACCGCCGCCGUCCCUGCUAGCCCUUUGAUGGGGCGCCACCCGAUGGCCAGUAGCCACACUACGCCCGAUGACAGACAGGGGGCACCACUCACGCCCUCCUUCCCAGUGUCACCCCAGCCGAUGCUUCCAGAGAAGAGGCGGAUGCCCAGUGGAGAGAGGUCCAAUGGGGGGCUGUCAUAUGGGACUCUGGAUGGGAAGACCACCACACCCACCUUUCCCAGUGGAGGCAGCACACCCAGUGUUCUCUGCCAUUCAAUCAACCAGAGUCCAGACAUCAGGCUGAAUGUGAAGUUUGUCCAGGACACGUCUAAGUUGUGGUACAAGCCAGACAUCUCCAGAGAGCAGGCCAUCAGUCUGCUGAGAGACAGGGAGCCAGGGGCCUUCAUUAUCAGGGACAGUCACUCCUUCAGAGGGGCCUACGGCCUGGCCAUGAAGGUGGCCUGCCCACCUCCCACCGCCCAGGCCAAUAAGAAAGUUGGUGACAUCACGAGCGAGCUGGUGAGGCACUUCCUGAUUGAGACGAGCCCCAAAGGCGUGCGUCUGAAGGGCUGUCCCAACGAGCCCUACUUUGGAUGUCUGUCUGCCCUGGUGUACCAACACUCGAUGACUCCUCUGGCCCUGCCCUGCAAGCUGAUGAUCCCCAGCAAAGAUCCCAAUGAGGAGGCCCUGGAGCUGGACACUCCCACUGACACAGUGGCCGAGCUGGUGAAACAAGGAGCAGCAUGCAAUGUUCUUUACAUCAGCUCUGUGGACAUGGAGUCUCUGACCGGUCCUCAGGCCGUCGCCAAGGCAAUCAGCGAAACGGUGGCCGUCAACCCGUUGCCCGCGGCAACAACCGUCCACUUCAAAGUGUCGUCGCAGGGCAUCACCCUCACGGAUAGCCAGAGGAAGGUCUUCUUCCGAAGGCACUACCCAAUCAACACUGUCACCUACUGUGACAUUGACCCCCAGGACAGGAAGUGGAGCAAGGAAGGAGGUGGAACGGCGAAACUGUUUGGUUUCGUGGCACGUAAACAAGGGAGCACAACGGACAACGUCAGCCACCUGUUUGCCGAGUUGGACCCCGACCAGCCUGCUUCAGCCAUCGUCAACUUCGUCUCCAAAGUCAUGAAGCGAUGAAACCAACGAACCCCCGACAGCCAUUCUUUUUUAAUUAAAUUUUUUCUUCAUUUUUGAUUGUGUUUCAUUAUUUUCUUCUGUUCUUUUUGUUGAGAUAUGUUCUCUUUGUUUUCUUCUGCGAGAUUUUAUGUUUGAAGGACUUGGAGGUAAUCCAAGAUGGCGUCAGAGGAAGUUGUGGCUGGAGUGGUGACAGUGACAACGUGGCUCGAGCUGGUGGAGGAAGAUGCUUUCUUCCACAGGGUAACUGUGGAAGUCCAAGUGGAGAAGCUGUGUGCUAAACUAAGUAUCAGUGGGAGGAAAGGACACUGACAUGUAUCAGGUUUUCGGAUUGAUUUACCAAAGGUAGCACUCAGAACAAGUAUGUCAUUAUUAGAUGGUCAGUUUAAGGUGUUGUAGAUUUUCUCUUUUUUUUCUUUUUUUUUUACAAUGGGACUGUUGAAAUGAAACAGACAAAAACAAAAAGAAUGCUUUCUUCUUGAACUUUAUUCUGUCUUCAGAAAAAUAGUUUGCCUCAGUGGCUUCUUACUAAAGAAUAUUUAAGAAGACAUUUUGCAUGUUAGCUCGAUCUUUAAGCUUGGUCCACUAAAGUCAUUUGUGAACCCUCGAGUGGACAUUUCCCAGGCCUGUUGUAUGUUGUAAAGGGCUCAACAGCGAGAAAAAUAAACAGUUCUCAACUUCACA
RNAcentral lists this long non-coding RNA (5289 nucleotides) under Salmo trutta (river trout). RNAcentral's name for it is "lncRNA (ENSSTUG00000028175.1)". The record is from RNAcentral. Lineage: Eukaryota; Metazoa; Chordata; Actinopteri; Salmoniformes; Salmonidae.